AUCUUAAGUUGUAUAUAUGUGCAGAGCGCGGCGCGGGUGGUCACCUCCGCUGCUGCCGCCACCCGCCCGGCCUGCCUUUGACCCUAUGGGUCACAGACAAGGCAGGGUGAUCGCGGCAAGACCCUGAGUGAGACUAGAUGCGUUACCCAGAGGGUGCGAGGUCGAGUACCUUCCCUGUCCCAUCGCAAACCCAAAGAUCCCCGUUCCUGGAGAUUCUGAUUGAGGUCCCAGCCCUACCUGUCCUGAUGCCUGACCAGCAGGAUGCAAGCCCAGGAGGCCAUCCAGGAUACCAGGACUGGGAGAGAAUGCCCAGUGGUGAUUCCUGCAUAGUCCUAGGAGGUGUCUUGGGCCCAGGCUCUGGAGUUGGAGGCUCAGUUUCAGCCUUGCACAGGGUCUCUGUUGCAGGUGGCCACUUCUGUACCACAAGGGAGAACGUGUGUCUGGCAAAGCGUGGUGCUGCCCAGGGUGAGGCCGAGCUGGAUGAUGCUCCAGUCCUGAACCCCACUCGUGGACACUCACUCACCCAUCUCCGGGGUCCGCCCGGCUCCCGGCGCAGCCC
RNAcentral lists this long non-coding RNA (559 nucleotides) under Homo sapiens (human). Its description in RNAcentral is "HSALNT0399067". The record is from RNAcentral. Lineage: Eukaryota; Metazoa; Chordata; Mammalia; Primates; Hominidae.